UCAUUGCUGGAACGCGCUUCGGCGCACCCAGAAACCCUUUGUGAACUUAUACCUACUGUUGCCUCGGCGCAGGCCGGCCUUUUGUGACAAAGGCCCCCUGGAGAUAGGGAGCAGCCCGCCGGCGGCCAACUAAACUCUUGUUUCUAUAGUGAAUCUCUGAGUAAAAACAUAAAUGAAUCAAAACUUUCAACAACGGAUCUCUUGGUUCUGGCAUCGAUGAAGAACGCAGCGAAAUGCGAUAAGUAAUGUGAAUUGCAGAAUUCAGUGAAUCAUCGAAUCUUUGAACGCACAUUGCGCCCUCUGGUAUUCCGGAGGGCAUGCCUGUUCGAGCGUCAUUUCAACCCUCAAGCCUGGCUUGGUGAUGGGGCACUGCCUUCUAGCGAGGGCAGGCCCUGAAAUCUAUUGGCGAGCUCGCUAGGACCCCGAGCGUAGUAGUUAUAUCUCGUUCUGGAAGGCCCUGGCGGUGCCCUGCCGUUAAACCCCCAACUUCUGAAAAUUUGACCUCGGAUCAGGUAGGAAUAC
RNAcentral lists this ribosomal RNA (522 nucleotides) under fungal sp. E14904K. Its description in RNAcentral is "eukaryotic LSU rRNA". The stretch from base 182 to 335 matches the Rfam family "5.8S ribosomal RNA". The record is from RNAcentral. Lineage: Eukaryota; Fungi.